Molecule: ribosomal RNA, 359 nt
Filed under: uncultured fungus
Lineage: Eukaryota; Fungi
Description: eukaryotic LSU rRNA
Rfam family: Eukaryotic large subunit ribosomal RNA
Source: RNAcentral
AUAUCAAUAAGCGGAGGAAAAGAAACCAACAGGGAUUGCCCUAGUAACGGCGAGUGAAGCGGCAACAGCUCAAAUUUGAAAUCUGGUCCUCGCGGCCCGAGUUGUAAUUUGUAGAGGAUGCUUUCAGGCUUUGGUGCCUUCUGAGUUCCCUGGAAUGGGACGCCACAGAGGGUGAGAGCCCCGUAUAGUCGUGCGCCAUGCCGCUGUAAAGCACCUUCGAAGAGUCGAGUAGUUUGGGAAUGCUGCCCCUAAGCAGGAGGUAAACUUCUUCUAAAGCUAAAUACCGGCCAGAGACCGAUAGCGCACAAGUAGAGUGAUCGAAAGAUGAAAAGCACUUUGAAAAGAGGGUUAAACAGCAC